GAGUUUGAUCCUGGCUCAGAUUGAACGCUGGCGGCAGGCCUAACACAUGCAAGUCGAGCGGCAGCGGGAAAGUAGCUUGCUACUUUUGCCGGCGAGCGGCGGACGGGUGAGUAAUGCCUGGGGAUCUGCCCAGUCGAGGGGGAUAACUACUGGAAACGGUAGCUAAUACCGCAUACGCCCUACGGGGGAAAGCAGGGGACCUUCGGGCCUUGCGCGAUUGGAUGAACCCAGGUGGGAUUAGCUAGUUGGUGAGGUAAUGGCUCACCAAGGCGACGAUCCCUAGCUGGUCUGAGAGGAUGAUCAGCCACACUGGAACUGAGACACGGUCCAGACUCCUACGGGAGGCAGCAGUGGGGAAUAUUGCACAAUGGGGGAAACCCUGAUGCAGCCAUGCCGCGUGUGUGAAGAAGGCCUUCGGGUUGUAAAGCACUUUCANCGAGGAGGAAAGGUUGGUGGUUAAUACCUGCCAGCUGUGACGUUNCUCGCA
This 487-nucleotide ribosomal RNA is filed under the name uncultured bacterium. Its description in RNAcentral is "bacterial SSU rRNA". It matches the Rfam family "Bacterial small subunit ribosomal RNA", at positions 9 to 483 of the family's 1533-position model. The record is from RNAcentral.